This 253-nucleotide ribosomal RNA is filed under the name uncultured bacterium. RNAcentral describes it as "partial 16S ribosomal RNA". It matches the Rfam family "Bacterial small subunit ribosomal RNA", at positions 524 to 776 of the family's 1533-position model. The record is from RNAcentral.
UACAGAGGUGCCAAGCGUUAGGCGGAAUCACUGGGCUUAAAGCGCGUGUAGGCGGGUCGUUAAGUGUCUUGUGAAAUCCCACGGCUCAACCGUGGAACUGCUGGGCAUACUGACGAUCUUGAGGCACUCAGGGGCUGUCGGAACAAAUGGUGGAGCGGUGAAAUGCGUAGAUAUCAUUUGGAACGCCAAUGGUGAAAACAGGUAGCUGGGAGUGUGCUGACGCUGAGACACGAAAGCCAGGGGAGCAAACGGG